GUCUACGGCCAUGAUACCCUGAACAAGCCUGAUUCCGUCUGAUCUCAGAAGCUAAGGAGGGUUGGGCCUGGUUAAUACUUGGAUGGGAGACCACCUAGGAAGACCAGGUACUGUGGGCA
RNAcentral lists this ribosomal RNA (119 nucleotides) under Pteropus alecto (black flying fox). The record is from RNAcentral. Lineage: Eukaryota; Metazoa; Chordata; Mammalia; Chiroptera; Pteropodidae.